RNAcentral lists this long non-coding RNA (1597 nucleotides) under Oryza sativa (Asian cultivated rice). RNAcentral's name for it is "long non-coding RNA (OSAT_LNC000295)". The record is from RNAcentral. Lineage: Eukaryota; Viridiplantae; Streptophyta; Magnoliopsida; Poales; Poaceae.
CGCUUUAGCGAACUGAUAUACGAGUGUGGAGUGUACGCUGUGUACGUUCAACUUGUACUCGAAACAAACAAUUAUGCCACGUGGAUGGAUCAUGAUUUAGGCCCACUAAACGAGGCCUUAACGGAACCAGCCCAAUAUAAUUAGCCCAUUAGCCCAGUAUCCCACAGGUAAAUCGACGGGCACAUCUGCGGGAGCGGCGGCGGCGGCGCAUCUCGCACAUAGCCACGCCCUGCCGCCGGCGCUCACCUCCUCGGAGGGAUGCCCGACCGUCGUUGUGGAGACGCUGUGUCACACCUCCGAGAGUCCAUCUUCGAGCACUCCAGUCUCCAGGUUAGUAUUAUUCAUUAUUUACAUGUUUAUUUGUCCACUACUACAUUGUUCGAUUACGAUUUAUAACCAUUUAGUUGUAUUUUAUUAAAUUUAUUUUGACUCAUUUCGGUGUAAUAGUACAUUUCAAGAUGAAGAGGUGUGGAUAAUUGACCUCUUUUUACUGAUGCAAUCAGUUCAUUCUAGGGACAAUAGGGGCCAGAGAGCUAGCGACACCGACCAAAAUUAUCCUUGUGUUAGUUCUAGUUCCUGGUCAGUGGCGGCCCGAUUUGUGGCAUGAUUAGAAAAUAGUGACAUUUAUCAACGAAUUAUCAAACUAGUUCAUAUGAUAUAGAUUAAUACAAAUGAAUUUUUUACUCCCUUGGACAGCUAGAUUUUUAUUUGAGUAUAUAAUUGUGUACAUGUGUACAGUAUUGAAGUUACAUGUACCCAGCUCCCUCCGCCACUGUUCCUGAUUUGCUAUAUGAUCCUUGGCUCAGUGGAAGCAUACAGUUGAAGGAUUGAUCCAUUUGAGGAUUUGCUGCUCAUAUGAUCAUAUCACAAAUUCACAAUACAUGCUUGUCAUGGUCCCACAUGUCAUGGAUCACCAAAGUUCACAAGACCAAGUAGACUUUCUUCUAUAUUCUAUAUGCAAUACAUCACAACUUAUGACACCAUUGGUACAACUCCCAUAUUGACAGAUGGACCAAAUGUAUGACCUUAAAACUAUCAGCCACGCGACUUGCAAACUCUUAAAGCAUCUUUGUUGCUACAACAGAUUGUCUCCAGUAUUUCUUGAAUCAGUAGUGCACCUUGUCUCAAUAGUAGGCCUGCCUUUGUCUCUAUGUUGGGAAUGUGAAUUGGAGAGAGCAUUGGAGUUGAGUGUCUUCUACCAGAAUAGCAUGGUAGCAAAGCUAUUAAAGAAAGAUAUUGUUUUUGCGGUAUUUUUUAAAUUAUAAAAGAGUGUAUGCUAUUAGAGAAUAGACUCAAACUUAAGGUAUGCUUCCACUGAAGCUGUUGCCAUGUAGAAAAAGAUUGGUUAGUUUGACAAGAUUGCCAACGAACUCUGGAAUAUGUCCAAAGAGAUUAUUCUGUGCAAAGCUUAGAAUAGAGAGGUUGCUCAAAUUUCCUACGGUAGAUGGAAUAUGUCCAAAGAAAUUAUUUCUUGCAAAUAUUAGAUCGCGUAUGCUGCUCAGAUUUCCUACUGCAGGUGGAAUAUAUCCGAAAAAUGAAUUGUCAGAGAUAUCAAGCUUCUCUAAAUGCUUCCAGUGCCAUAAACUUGAUGGUAUAC